AGAGUUAAACAGUACGUGAAAUUGUUGAAAGGGAAACGAUUGAAGUCAGUCGUACCAGCGGGAAAUCAACCUUUCGAGUGGGGGUUUUGGAGUUUUGAAGAGUGUCAAAACCUUUGAGAUUUCAAAAUUUUCGCUCCUUUGGUGUACUUUCUCGUGGGUAGGUUAACAUCGAUUUCGAUCAUCAUAAAAGGAUUGGAGGAAUGUAGCUUCGAUCUUGUAUUGAAGUGUUAUAGCCUUUGGUAAAUGUGAUGAUUGGGAUCGAGGAUUGCAACGAAUACCCUUUUGGGCUAUCCGCCUGAUCUCUGAUACGUGGCCUUGGCAUCGAAAGCUUGCUUAUGGUAUCAAGGUAUUACGGUCAAAAGGUUAGAACGGAUUACAUUCGUUAAGGAUGUUGACGUAAUGGCUUUAAACGACC
This 415-nucleotide ribosomal RNA is filed under the name Septoglomus viscosum. RNAcentral's name for it is "partial large subunit ribosomal RNA". The record is from RNAcentral. Lineage: Eukaryota; Fungi; Glomeromycota; Glomeromycetes; Glomerales; Glomeraceae.